RNAcentral lists this long non-coding RNA (342 nucleotides) under Musa acuminata (dwarf banana). Its description in RNAcentral is "long non-coding RNA (MACU_LNC005339)". Lineage: Eukaryota; Viridiplantae; Streptophyta; Magnoliopsida; Zingiberales; Musaceae. The record is from RNAcentral.
AAUCACAUCUACCAUGCUUUUUGUUGAUGACAAAGGGGGAGAAAUAUAUGAAUUGAUAUGUUUGCUAUCACUGAUGUUGAUAUGGUUGCUAUCACUGAUGCUGAUAUGUUUGCUAUCACUGAUGUUGAUAUGGUUGCUAUCACUGAUGCUGAUAUGUUUGCUAUCACUGAUGUUGAUAUGAUUGCUAUCAUUGCUAUGAUUAGGCCAUACUUGCAUCACCAAGAAAUAUAUGAUUGCUAUCAUUGCUAUAUGCCCUGUAUCAAGAUAUCAACUAUCAUUGCUAUAUGCCCUGUAUCAAGAUAUCAAACAAAAAUUUGCAUCGUACGAGCUGAUAUCUUACCA